UACGGAGGGGACUAGCGUUGUUCGGAAUUACUGGGCGUAAAGCGCACGUAGGCGGAUUGUUUAGUCAGGGGUGAAAUCCCGAGGCUCAACCUCGGAACUGCCCUUGAUACUGGCAAUCUCGAGUCCGGAAGAGGUGAGUGGAAUUCCUAGUGUAGAGGUGAAAUUCGUAGAUAUUAGGAAGAACACCAGUGGCGAAGGCGGCUCACUGGUCCGGUACUGACGCUGAGGUGCGAAAGCGUGGGGAGCAAACAGG
Molecule: ribosomal RNA, 253 nt
Filed under: uncultured bacterium
Lineage: Bacteria
Description: partial 16S ribosomal RNA
Rfam family: Bacterial small subunit ribosomal RNA
Source: RNAcentral